This 2901-nucleotide ribosomal RNA is filed under the name Escherichia coli. RNAcentral describes it as "bacterial LSU rRNA". It matches the Rfam family "Bacterial large subunit ribosomal RNA". Lineage: Bacteria; Pseudomonadati; Pseudomonadota; Gammaproteobacteria; Enterobacterales; Enterobacteriaceae. The record is from RNAcentral.
UUAAGCGACUAAGCGUACACGGUGGAUGCCCUGGCAGUCAGAGGCGAUGAAGGACGUGCUAAUCUGCGAUAAGCGUCGGUAAGGUGAUAUGAACCGUUAUAACCGGCGAUUUCCGAAUGGGGAAACCCAGUGUGUUUCGACACACUAUCAUUAACUGAAUCCAUAGGUUAAUGAGGCGAACCGGGGGAACUGAAACAUCUAAGUACCCCGAGGAAAAGAAAUCAACCGAGAUUCCCCCAGUAGCGGCGAGCGAACGGGGAGCAGCCCAGAGCCUGAAUCAGUAUGUGUGUUAGUGGAAGCGUCUGGAAAGGCGCGCGAUACAGGGUGACAGCCCCGUACACAAAAAUGCACAUAUUGUGAGCUCGAUGAGUAGGGCGGGACACGUGGUAUCCUGUCUGAAUAUGGGGGGACCAUCCUCCAAGGCUAAAUACUCCUGACUGACCGAUAGUGAACCAGUACCGUGAGGGAAAGGCGAAAAGAACCCCGGCGAGGGGAGUGAAAAAGAACCUGAAACCGUGUACGUACAAGCAGUGGGAGCACGCUUAGGCGUGUGACUGCGUACCUUUUGUAUAAUGGGUCAGCGACUUAUAUUCUGUAGCAAGGUUAACCGAAUAGGGGAGCCGAAGGGAAACCGAGUCUUAACUGGGCGUUAAGUUGCAGGGUAUAGACCCGAAACCCGGUGAUCUAGCCAUGGGCAGGUUGAAGGUUGGGUAACACUAACUGGAGGACCGAACCGACUAAUGUUGAAAAAUUAGCGGAUGACUUGUGGCUGGGGGUGAAAGGCCAAUCAAACCGGGAGAUAGCUGGUUCUCCCCGAAAGCUAUUUAGGUAGCGCCUCGUGAAUUCAUCUCCGGGGGUAGAGCACUGUUUCGGCAAGGGGGUCAUCCCGACUUACCAACCCGAUGCAAACUGCGAAUACCGGAGAAUGUUAUCACGGGAGACACACGGCGGGUGCUAACGUCCGUCGUGAAGAGGGAAACAACCCAGACCGCCAGCUAAGGUCCCAAAGUCAUGGUUAAGUGGGAAACGAUGUGGGAAGGCCCAGACAGCCAGGAUGUUGGCUUAGAAGCAGCCAUCAUUUAAAGAAAGCGUAAUAGCUCACUGGUCGAGUCGGCCUGCGCGGAAGAUGUAACGGGGCUAAACCAUGCACCGAAGCUGCGGCAGCGACACUAUGUGUUGUUGGGUAGGGGAGCGUUCUGUAAGCCUGUGAAGGUGUGCUGUGAGGCAUGCUGGAGGUAUCAGAAGUGCGAAUGCUGACAUAAGUAACGAUAAAGCGGGUGAAAAGCCCGCUCGCCGGAAGACCAAGGGUUCCUGUCCAACGUUAAUCGGGGCAGGGUGAGUCGACCCCUAAGGCGAGGCCGAAAGGCGUAGUCGAUGGGAAACAGGUUAAUAUUCCUGUACUUGGUGUUACUGCGAAGGGGGGACGGAGAAGGCUAUGUUGGCCGGGCGACGGUUGUCCCGGUUUAAGCGUGUAGGCUGGUUUUCCAGGCAAAUCCGGAAAAUCAAGGCUGAGGCGUGAUGACGAGGCACUACGGUGCUGAAGCAACAAAUGCCCUGCUUCCAGGAAAAGCCUCUAAGCAUCAGGUAACAUCAAAUCGUACCCCAAACCGACACAGGUGGUCAGGUAGAGAAUACCAAGGCGCUUGAGAGAACUCGGGUGAAGGAACUAGGCAAAAUGGUGCCGUAACUUCGGGAGAAGGCACGCUGAUAUGUAGGUGAAGUCCCUCGCGGAUGGAGCUGAAAUCAGUCGAAGAUACCAGCUGGCUGCAACUGUUUAUUAAAAACACAGCACUGUGCAAACACGAAAGUGGACGUAUACGGUGUGACGCCUGCCCGGUGCCGGAAGGUUAAUUGAUGGGGUCAGCGCAAGCGAAGCUCUUGAUCGAAGCCCCGGUAAACGGCGGCCGUAACUAUAACGGUCCUAAGGUAGCGAAAUUCCUUGUCGGGUAAGUUCCGACCUGCACGAAUGGCGUAAUGAUGGCCAGGCUGUCUCCACCCGAGACUCAGUGAAAUUGAACUCGCUGUGAAGAUGCAGUGUACCCGCGGCAAGACGGAAAGACCCCGUGAACCUUUACUAUAGCUUGACACUGAACAUUGAGCCUUGAUGUGUAGGAUAGGUGGGAGGCUUGGAAGUGUGGACGCCAGUCUGCAUGGAGCCGACCUUGAAAUACCACCCUUUAAUGUUUGAUGUUCUAACGUUGACCCGUGAUCCGGGUUGCGGACAGUGUCUGGUGGGUAGUUUGACUGGGGCGGUCUCCUCCUAAAGAGUAACGGAGGAGCACGAAGGUUGGCUAAUCCUGGUCGGACAUCAGGAGGUUAGUGCAAUGGCAUAAGCCAGCUUGACUGCGAGCGUGACGGCGCGAGCAGGUGCGAAAGCAGGUCAUAGUGAUCCGGUGGUUCUGAAUGGAAGGGCCAUCGCUCAACGGAUAAAAGGUACUCCGGGGAUAACAGGCUGAUACCGCCCAAGAGUUCAUAUCGACGGCGGUGUUUGGCACCUCGAUGUCGGCUCAUCACAUCCUGGGGCUGAAGUAGGUCCCAAGGGUAUGGCUGUUCGCCAUUUAAAGUGGUACGCGAGCUGGGUUUAGAACGUCGUGAGACAGUUCGGUCCCUAUCUGCCGUGGGCGCUGGAGAACUGAGGGGGGCUGCUCCUAGUACGAGAGGACCGGAGUGGACGCAUCACUGGUGUUCGGGUUGUCAUGCCAAUGGCACUGCCCGGUAGCUAAAUGCGGAAGAGAUAAGUGCUGAAAGCAUCUAAGCACGAAACUUGCCCCGAGAUGAGUUCUCCCUGACUCCUUGAGAGUCCUGAAGGAACGUUGAAGACGACGACGUUGAUAGGCCGGGUGUGUAAGCGCAGCGAUGCGUUGAGCUAACCGGUACUAAUGAACCGUGAGGCUUAACCUU